Molecule: ribosomal RNA, 171 nt
Filed under: Clavariaceae sp.
Lineage: Eukaryota; Fungi; Basidiomycota; Agaricomycetes; Agaricales; Clavariaceae
Description: partial small subunit ribosomal RNA
Rfam family: Eukaryotic small subunit ribosomal RNA
Source: RNAcentral
UAAAUAGUCAGAUCGGCUUCGGCUGGUCGCUGUACUUCUUAGAGGGACUGUCAGUGUCUAACUGACGGAAGUUUGAGGCAAUAACAGGUCUGUGAUGCCCUUAGAUGUUCUGGGCCGCACGCGCGCUACACUGACAGAGCCAGCGAGUCUUCAAUCCCUUCACCGGAAGGU